AGAUCUCUGUCCCACACCUAAGCACAAAAUAGAAACUCAUUCCACCCAAAAACACAUGGCUCCAGGAAGAAGGAGAAGAAGAAGUAAGAAGGAAAGGAAGGGAUUCAGUAAUAACAAUAUUAUCAAUUUGUCUUAACAAUGGGUUUCGUGAUCAAAUAAGAAUAGAGCUCUUCAACGCUCAAUGUCAGUCAAUUAUAUCCCUAUGAACAAAUUAACCAUAAAUGUUUGCCUAGAACACCUAACAAAAAAGAGAGUGCGAAAAAAGCACUCCGUGUCAAAGACUAAAGAGCUAAACUUAACCACUGCGGCAAUCUUGUAUCCAUGAUCCUCUUCACUACAUCCCUUACAAAACAAUCAAAACAAGAUGCGCAAAAACCUUUCAUUAUACUUGUCUGUCCAGCAGCCACCCUCCCACCAUGGUUGCAAAUUGGUGGUGGGGGUACAAAUUGGACUUCACUCCUCUUGUG
Molecule: unclassified non-coding RNA, 467 nt
Filed under: Hevea brasiliensis (rubber tree)
Lineage: Eukaryota; Viridiplantae; Streptophyta; Magnoliopsida; Malpighiales; Euphorbiaceae
Source: RNAcentral